GAAUUCGCCCUUGUUUGAUCAUGGCUCAGGAUGAACGCUGGCGGCGUGCUUAACACAUGCAAGUCGAACGGGAAACCUUUUAUUGAAGCUUCGGCAGAUUUAGAUUGUUUCUAGUGGCGGACGGGUGAGUAACGCGUGGGUAACCUGCCUUAUACAGGGGGAUAACAGUCAGAAAUGACUGCUAAUACCGCAUAAGCGCACAGAGCUGCAUGGCUCGGUGUGAAAAACUCCGGUGGUAUAAGAUGGACCCGCGUUGGAUUAGCUAGUUGGUGAGGUAACGGCCCACCAAGGCGACGAUCCAUAGCCGGCCUGAGAGGGUGAACGGCCACAUUGGGACUGAGACACGGCCCAGACUCCUACGGGAGGCAGCAGUGGGGAAUAUUGCACAAUGGGGGAAACCCUGAUGCAGCGACGCCGCGUGAAGGAAGAAGUAUCUCGGUAUGUAAACUUCUAUCAGCAGGGAAGAAAAUGACGGUACCUGACUAAGAAGCCCCGGCUAACUACGUGCCAGCAGCCGCGGUAAUACGUAGGGGGCAAGCGUUAUCCGGAUUUACUGGGUGUAAAGGGAGCGUAGACGGAUGGACAAGUCUGAUGUGAAAGGCUGGGGCUCAACCCCGGGACUGCAUUGGAAACUGCCCG
RNAcentral lists this ribosomal RNA (639 nucleotides) under uncultured bacterium. RNAcentral's name for it is "bacterial SSU rRNA". It matches the Rfam family "Bacterial small subunit ribosomal RNA", at positions 1 to 639 of the family's 1533-position model. The record is from RNAcentral.